UGAGGAAUAUUGGUCAAUGGGCGAGAGCCUGAACCAGCCAAAUCGCGUGAAGGAAAACUGCCUUAUGGGUUGUAAACUUCUUUUGUAUAGGAAUAAAAAGGGGGACGCGUCCUCCAUUGCAUGUACUGUACGAAUAAGCAUCGGCUAACUCCGUGCCAGCAGCCGCGGUAAUACGGAGGAUGCGAGCGUUAUCCGGAUUUAUUGGGUUUAAAGGGUGCGCAGGCGGGCUUUUAGGUCAGCGGUGAAAUCUCGACGCUUAACGUCGAAACUGCCGUUGAAACUGGGAGUCUUGAGUAUAGAUGAAGUAGGCGGAAUUCGUUGUGUAGCGGUGACAUGCUUAGAUAUAACGAGGAACUCCGAUUGCGUAGGCAGCUUACUAAGCUAUAACUGACGCUCAAGCACGAAAGCGUGGGGAUCAAAACAGGAUUAGAUACCCUGGUAGUCCACGCCGUAAACGAUGAUUACUAGUUGUAUGCGAUAUACCGUAUGUGACUAAGCGAAAGCGAUAAGUAAUCCACCUGGGGGAGUACGCCGGCAACGGU
This 542-nucleotide ribosomal RNA is filed under the name uncultured bacterium. Its description in RNAcentral is "partial 16S ribosomal RNA". It matches the Rfam family "Bacterial small subunit ribosomal RNA", at positions 355 to 895 of the family's 1533-position model. The record is from RNAcentral.